RNAcentral lists this ribosomal RNA (467 nucleotides) under uncultured bacterium. RNAcentral's name for it is "partial 16S ribosomal RNA". It matches the Rfam family "Bacterial small subunit ribosomal RNA", at positions 28 to 506 of the family's 1533-position model. The record is from RNAcentral.
GACGAACGCUGGCGGCGUGCUUAACACAUGCAAGUCGAACGGAAAGGCCCUGCUUUUGUGGGGUGCUCGAGUGGCGAACGGGUGAGUAACACGUGAGUAACCUGCCCUUGACUUUGGGAUAACUUCAGGAAACUGGGGCUAAUACCGGAUAGGAGCUCCUGCUGCAUGGUGGGGGUUGGAAAGUUUCGGCGGUUGGGGAUGGACUCGCGGCUUAUCAGCUUGUUGGUGGGGUAGUGGCUUACCAAGGCUUUGACGGGUAGCCGGCCUGAGAGGGUGACCGGCCACAUUGGGCCUGGGAUACGGCCCAGACUCCUCGGGGAGGCAGCAGUGGGGAAUAUUGCACAAUGGGCGGAAGCCUGAUGCAGCAACGCCGCGUGCGGGAUGACGGCCUUCGGGUUGUAAACCGCUUUCGCCUGUGACGAAGCGUGAGUGACGGUACUGGGUAAAGAAGCACCGGCUACUUCCGU